RNAcentral lists this ribosomal RNA (498 nucleotides) under uncultured bacterium. RNAcentral describes it as "partial 16S ribosomal RNA". It matches the Rfam family "Bacterial small subunit ribosomal RNA", at positions 28 to 507 of the family's 1533-position model. The record is from RNAcentral.
GACGAACGCUGGCGGCGUGCCUAAUACAUGCAAGUCGAACGAGAGCGACCGGUGCUUGCACUGGUCAAUCUAGUGGCGAACGGGUGAGUAACACGUGGGUAACCUGCCCAUCAGAGGGGGAUAACAUCCGGAAACGGAUGCUAAAACCGCAUAGGUCUUCGAGCCGCAUGGCUUGAAGAGGAAAAGAGGCGCAAGCUUCUGCUGAUGGAUGGACCCGCGGUGCAUUAGCUAGUUGGUGAGGUAACGGCUCACCAAGGCCGUGAUGCAUAGCCGACCUGAGAGGGUGAUCGGCCACAUUGGGACUGAGACACGGCCCAAACUCCUACGGGAGGCAGCAGUAGGGAAUCUUCCGCAAUGGACGCAAGUCUGACGGAGCAACGCCGCGUGAGUGAAGAAGGUUUUCGGAUCGUAAAACUCUGUAGUUAGAGAAGAACAAGUGCUAGAGUAACUGUUAGCGCCUUGACGGUAUCUAACCAGAAAGCCACGGCUAACUACGUG